CGUUACACAAAACAAACGCUUCCCGCCGGAGCGGAGCUGAGCUGAGCUGCCACCCAAUGCAACCCAUGGCCGCCGUCGACCUCUCCCGACCGCUCUGCGCCGCCGUCAUCAAAACCUCCUUCCGCCCCCAUCUCCCGCUCCUCGCCGCCUCUCCCGCACUCCUCGCCGCGGUCCUUCAACGCCUCUCCCCGCUCCCUUCCGCCGCGCUCGCCUUCUUCCGCGCCCUGCCGCCGCCGCCCCCGCUCGACGCCUCCCUCGCGCUCCUCCGCCUCCUCGCGCCGCACCCGCGCCACCACCCCGCUGCCCGCGCCCUCCUCCGGGAUCUCUCCCUGCGCCACCCGCUAUCCUCCCCGCUCAUGCUCCCCUCCCUCCUCGCCGACCACGACCCCCACGUCCCCAGCUGGCUCCUCCUCCUCCUCUCCCAGUCCGCACGCCCCGACGACGCCGUCCGGGUGUUCGACCAAAUGCGCGCCCGGGGCCUCGCCCCCGACGCCCACGCCUGCACCGCGCUCCUCACUGCGCUCGCCAGGGCCCGGAUGACGGCCACCGCGCGCCGGGUGUUCGACGAAAUGACCAGGGCCGGGGUCGCCAUCAGCACCCACGUGUGCAACGCCAUGCUGCACGUGUGCCUCAAGGCUGGGGACGCCGCACGCGCCGAGGCGCUCAUCACCAGGAUGGACGCGGCUGCCGUGCGCUUGGACCAAUUCUCUUUCAACACCAUCAUCGCCCUCUACUGCAGGAAGGGGAUGAGGUACGAGGCCAUGUGCGUGCGGGAGCGCAUGGAAAACCAAGGGAUACAGGCGGACACCGUCACAUGGAACUCCUUGAUCCACGGGUUGUGCAAGGAUGGCAGGGUGAAGGAGGCGGCCGGGCUGUUUACUGAGAUGAUUGCAGCACAGGUGCCGCCAGACAAUGUCACCUACACCACACUCAUUGAUGGGUACUGCCGGGCGGGCGAUAUCGAGGAGGCGGUCAAGCUACGAGAGGAGAUGGAGGCGAGGGGGAUGCUCCCAGGGGUUGCCACUUACAAUGCUAUUCUCAGGAAGCUCUGUGAGGAUGGCAACAUCAAGGAGGUCAAUCAGUUGCUUAAUGAGAUGGAUGAGAGGAAGGUGCAGGCUGAUCAUGUCACCUGCAACACGCUAAUCAAUGCGUACUGCAAGAGAGGGGAUAUGACUUCAGCAUGCAAGGUCAGGAGGAAGAUGUUGGAGUCCGGGCUGCAGCUGAAUCAGUUCACCUACAAGGCUCUCAUCCAUGGAUUCUGCAAGGCCAAGGAGUUGGACAAAGCCAAGGAAGCCUUGUUUGAGAUGGUCGAUGCAGGUUUUUCACCCAACUAUAGCGUAUUCUCCUGGCUUGUCGAUGGUUUCUGCAAGAAGAAUAGCGCAGACGCAGUACUACUCAUCCCUGAUGAGCUUAUGAGAAGAGGCCUUCCACCAGAUAAAGCAGUAUAUAGGUCGCUAAUUCGAAGGCUUUGCAGAAAAGGCUUGGUUGACCAGGCACAAAAAGUGUUUGAUCGGAUGCAAGGCAAAGGUUUAGUGGGUGACAGUCUAGUGUAUGCCACACUUGCCUAUGCAUAUCUGGCUGAAGGAAAGCCAGCUGCCGCUUCGAAUACUUUGGAUGGCAUGGCGAAGGAUCAGUUGCGCAUAACGCCCCAUAUUUACAACUGCCUGUGCACGACUUAUGCUGAUGAGAAGGAAACCCUUAAUAUGUUGUGGGUUCGCGCUAUCGAGAGAGGCCUAAUAACGAAAAGUGUUUACAAAUUGCUGCACCAAGCAAGGCUGCUGGAAUCAACGUAGCCUGCAGUUGAGACUGGGGGGCAUGCUCCUGCUCCAAGGCCAGACUAUCUAGAGGCUACACUUGAUUGAUACUUGAGUGCAGAGUUACAAUUCUAUAACCAAGUCUGUUUGGUCCAUUCAUGAUUUUCGAUCAUACCAGCACGGUAAUGAAGUUAGGUGUGUCGUAUAUCGCUUCAUAAGCGUUUUGGGGCGAAUGGACAAGCCAUGCUGCUGAGUGCUGACACACUUGAGCUUGUAAGCUCACUCUCUGUUUUAUAUGCUCACUCUUGUUACUUGCUGGGUGAAUAUAUUCACUUUGUUAUAGCAUAGGUCUUAGCACAGAAGAAUAAAUGAGGGCUCUAUCCCAGCGGAAAUGCAGGACAUGGUGCGAGAAGGCGUCAAACUGGUUCUGCAGGCCGCAAAAGGCCAGCACUGUUGUGCGCAUCGAGGGCUGAAGAUUGAUGUACCAGGGGCGUGAGAGUGGAACUGUGGAAAACAUUGUGUUCUCUAGGAGUAGCGCGUAGUCUGUUCUGGUAAUGUGUCUUUAGUUCAGUGUGAGCUUGUAAAUAAUCUGCUGGCAGCUGGAAAAGUGUUUUAUUCCCCCUGAAUAAUAAAUAUACGUAAUGGGAA
RNA transcript from Panicum hallii, 2402 nucleotides. It is a transcript of the gene named pentatricopeptide repeat-containing protein At5g38730, with no coding region annotated. NCBI's taxonomy places the organism in Eukaryota, Viridiplantae, Streptophyta, Magnoliopsida, Poales, Poaceae. The transcript has 3 exons. The record is from RefSeq and is a predicted model, not a curated record.